AAAAGCACUAUCUUUCCCUGUGUCUGGCCUCUGGCAUUGACAAGUGACAAUGAGACAGAGGUUGAUCUGUGGUUUAACCGUAGACUGAAGCCCUACUUGAAGUUCCUGAACAAAGAUCUAAUAGGAUCAAAAGACAUACUGAGCGCAUCUUGCCAAUCAUACAAGAAAAUGGUCGGUGUUUUAGGUAGCAAUUUCAGCUUUAAUGGUUCUCAGAUUACCACUAAGGAUGUGUACGCCACCAUCAAGACAUAUCUGACAGCAGACACUGAAGCAAAAUGCUACAACCCUUCUGACGCACGAUUGAAUUCAACUGCGUGGUUUGUCAACAACAUUGGUGUAUUUAUAACUUUAUUGACUCUGGACGAUCUCUACUCUUUCGGCCCUGAGAAAACGAUGAAACUCUUUGCUGUGAACCCUGAUAACUUAAAGCUGUUCAAUCAAAAGGCACUUCCGAAGAAAGUCAUCAGCCGCUACACUGAACUCGUCUUUCUACAAAACCCCAGCUUUAAUCUUAUUGAGUA
RNAcentral lists this long non-coding RNA (521 nucleotides) under Sinocyclocheilus grahami. RNAcentral's name for it is "lncRNA (ENSSGRG00000002710.1)". Lineage: Eukaryota; Metazoa; Chordata; Actinopteri; Cypriniformes; Cyprinidae. The record is from RNAcentral.